GGAGGAGUCGCAUAGAGGCCGAGUGCCGCUCAGUGCUAAUGAGCUAUAUCCGUAAGGGUAUCGUGGGUUCGAAUCCCACCUCCUCCGCCA
This 90-nucleotide transfer RNA is filed under the name Candidatus Daviesbacteria bacterium RIFCSPHIGHO2_02_FULL_39_12. RNAcentral's name for it is "tRNA-Ser". It matches the Rfam family "tRNA". From Rfam's summary of the family: Transfer RNA (tRNA) molecules are approximately 80 nucleotides in length. Their secondary structure includes four short double-helical elements and three loops (D, anti-codon, and T loops). Lineage: Bacteria; Candidatus Daviesiibacteriota. RNAcentral also lists the same sequence under 1 other name. The record is from RNAcentral.